This 520-nucleotide ribosomal RNA is filed under the name uncultured Glomus. RNAcentral describes it as "SSU rRNA". It matches the Rfam family "Eukaryotic small subunit ribosomal RNA", at positions 569 to 1082 of the family's 1831-position model. The record is from RNAcentral. Lineage: Eukaryota; Fungi; Glomeromycota; Glomeromycetes; Glomerales; Glomeraceae.
AGCAGCCGCGGUAAUUCCAGCUCCAAUAGCGUAUAUUAAAGUUGUUGCAGUUAAAAAGCUCGUAGUUGAAUUUCGGGGUCGGUAGGUUGGUCAUGCCUCUGGUAUGCACUGGUCUCACUGAUUCCUCCUUCCUGAUGAGCCGUAAUGCCAUUAAUUUGGUGUUGCGAGGAAUCUGGACUGUUACUUUGAAAAAAUUGAGUGUUUAAAGCAAGCUAACGCUUGAAUACAUUAGCAUGGAAUAAUGGAAUAGGACGUUCGAUCCUAUUUUUGUUGGUUUCUAGGAUUUGACGUAAUGAUUAAUAGGGAUAGUUGGGGGCAUUAGUAUUCAAUUGUCAGAGGUGAAAUUCUUGGAUUUUAUUGAAGACUAACUACUGACGAAAGCAUUUUGCCAAGGAUGUUUUCAUUAAUCAAGAACGAAGUUAGGGGAUCGAAGACGAUCAGAUACCGUCGUAGUCUUAACCAUAAACUAUGACCGACUAGGGAUCGGAUGAGUUGUUUAAUUUUUUAAUGACUUCAUUCC